This 194-nucleotide ribosomal RNA is filed under the name Enterococcus plantarum. RNAcentral's name for it is "partial 16S ribosomal RNA". It matches the Rfam family "Bacterial small subunit ribosomal RNA", at positions 1 to 178 of the family's 1533-position model. The record is from RNAcentral. Lineage: Bacteria; Bacillati; Bacillota; Bacilli; Lactobacillales; Enterococcaceae.
UUAUUAUGAGAGUUUGAUCCUGGCUCAGGACGAACGCUGGCGGCGUGCCUAAUACAUGCAAGUCGAACGCUUCUUUUCUACCGAGUGCUUGCACUCAUUUGAAAAGAGGAGUGGCGGACGGGUGAGUAACACGUGGGUAACCUACCCAUCAGAGGGGGAUAACACUUGGAAACAGGUGCUAAUACCGCAUAAUA